This 596-nucleotide ribosomal RNA is filed under the name uncultured fungus. RNAcentral describes it as "eukaryotic LSU rRNA". The stretch from base 211 to 364 matches the Rfam family "5.8S ribosomal RNA". Lineage: Eukaryota; Fungi. The record is from RNAcentral.
AGUCGUAACAAGGUCUCCGUAGGUGAACCUGCGGAGGGAUCAUUACACAAAUAUGAAGGCGGGCUGGAACCUCUCGGAGUUACAGCCUUGCUGAAUUAUUCACCCUUGUCUUUUGCGUACUUCUUGUUUCCUUGGUGGGUUCGCCCACCACUAGGACAAACAUAAACCUUUCGUAAUUGCAAUCAGCGUCAGUAACAAAUUAAUAAUUACAACUUUCAACAACGGAUCUCUUGGUUCUGGCAUCGAUGAAGAACGCAGCGAAAUGCGAUAAGUAGUGUGAAUUGCAGAAUUCAGUGAAUCAUCGAAUCUUUGAACGCACAUUGCGCCCUUUGGUAUUCCAAAGGGCAUGCCUGUUCGAGCGUCAUUUGUACCCUCAAGCUUUGCUUGGUGUUGGGCGUCUUGUCUCUAGCUUUGCUGGAGACUCGCCUUAAAGUAAUUGGCAGCCGGCCUACUGGUUUCGGAGCGCAGCACAAGUCGCACUCUCUAUCAGCAAAGGUCUAGCAUCCAUUAAGCCUUUUUUUUCAACUUUUGACCUCGGAUCAGGUAGGGAUACCCGCUGAAAUUGAGCAUAUCAAUAAGCGGAGGAAUAAAAGUCG